This 508-nucleotide ribosomal RNA is filed under the name uncultured bacterium. RNAcentral describes it as "bacterial SSU rRNA". It matches the Rfam family "Bacterial small subunit ribosomal RNA", at positions 373 to 896 of the family's 1533-position model. The record is from RNAcentral.
GGAGGCAACUCUGAUGCAGCAACACUGCGUGAAGGAUGAAGGUUUUCGGAUUGUAAACUUCUUUUAUCUGGGAAUAAUCUUGAAGGUACCAGAUGAAUAAGCACCGGCUAACUACGUGCCAGCAGCCGCGGUAAUACGUAGGGUGCAAACGUUAUCCGGAUUUAUUGGGCGUAAAGAGCUCGUAGGUGGUCUCGUAAGUUGGAUAUUAAAUCUCCCGGCUCAACUGGGAAGCUGUAUUCAAAACUACGAAACUUGAGGUAUGUAGGGGCAGAUGGAACUUACGGUGUAGCGGUAAAAUGCGUAGAUAUCGUAAGGAACGCCGAUGGUGAAGACGAUCUGCUGGACAUCACCUGACACUGAGGAGCGAAAGCGUGGGUAGCGAUCGGGAUUAGAUACCCCGGUAGUCCACGCCGUAAACGAUGCAUACUAGGAAUUUGGAGUAUCGACCCUCUGAUUUUCGAAGCUAACGCGUUAAGUAUGCCGCCUGGGUAGUACGGCCGCAAGGCUA